Molecule: long non-coding RNA, 2536 nt
Organism: Cyprinus carpio carpio
Lineage: Eukaryota; Metazoa; Chordata; Actinopteri; Cypriniformes; Cyprinidae
Source: Ensembl
GUCUAGUUCCUCUCUUUGUGCUGGGGUGAGUUUUUCGUAAUUUACCUGAACUGGAGGAUUGUCAGAGACCCCGACUGCUUGAACAUGUGCCACUCGUCUAACAUGAAUCGCCCCUUCCUCUUCUUCAAACUCCAGCAUAUUUUCAGUUAACACCUCCCGGGGUUUAGACAACACUGCCACUCUGCAUCUUGGGUUUAGUCUGAUGGUCCGCUCACUCGAAUUCAUUACUCGUACAGGAACUUUACCACCAUCAGUUUUUGUUAGCACAUUGGCCACUAAGAGCCCCUUGGGUAGACUCACACCAGUGGUGUGCUCAAUUAAUACUUGGCACUUCACUUUAGGUGGCACUCUGCAACGACCUUCAAACACUUUCUCACUUAGUGGAGGAAUAGUGAUGGUCUGCUUUCCACCAACUUUGACAAACCCAAUCUUGCCGUCAGGACUCAGGGGUUCAGUCUUCUCGACACAUGCUAACACCCUUCUUAUCUUUGCUUCUGCGGGUUGCCUGUAUUUGUUGGCUGUCUUUACGCUCUCUCCUGUGACGAACAACGAUUUAAACUCACUGAUAAUAUUCAUUCCAAUGAUUCCAGAAAGUCCUCUUAUCUCCUCAGAUUCUGGGCUGGUAUCUGUCAGCACAAAGAUGCACUUCCCUGGUAGAACCUUUCCCAUGCACUCCACGUCAGCUUGUAAACAUCCUAGGACCGGAAUGUCGAGCCCAUUAGCUGCAGUGAGUUUGACCCAGUGAGCAGAUGACAAUUUCAGCUUUUGCUCUCCGAAGUGCUUCCUAAAGUGUGAUUCUGUAAUAGUGGACACUUCUGAGCCUGUAUCCAGCAAGCAGUUUGUCUUGACACCAGCUAUUCUAACUUCAAUAGUCAAACAAUCUCCAAAUGCACCAUUUUUCAAUGUCUCCGUCACUUCGUCGGACCAUUCAGCUACAUGACUUCUUAUCAUAGAUGGCCCAGAGCUGGCUUGUGUCGUGUUUGCCGGAACGUUCCCUAUGUUUGUUUCAACCAUCCCUGUAGAACGUCGAGACUGAUCAGACACCAUAGCUGCCUCAGCACCUUGUGGACAGCGCCUGCUAGUGUGCCCAGGCUCGCCACACGAAUAACAGAUGUAUCGGCCAUCGCUGUCCUUCAGGGGUUGUCUUUUUGGGAGGCUCUGUUGAAGUCGUACUCUGCUGUUACCAUGUACGGCCUGAUAGAGUUCUUCUUGACGGGCAGCAAUUUUUUGUAUGGCUUCAUGCAUUUUUCCAAAGUUAACGUAGAGGAAGCUUGUUCUGCGUCAGCAUUAACUACUCUAACACGGGGACUGGGUUUUGGAUUGUUUGGCGUUUGUGUCUCUUCUUCUUCAGCCCAGGUGAUUGCUGCUUGCAUUACCCGAACAAAAGUCAAACCCGUGUCCUCUUUAACUCGUCUUUUCAUUUCACGCCUCAGGAAAUCAUCUCGAAGGCCCAGGACAAGCUGCUCUUUUAACACACUUUCGGCAUCGGGAACUCGGUUUGGUUCUCUGCGCUGAACUUUGCUCAGUCUCUCCUGUAAAUCGUAUGCAUAUGAACGUAUCGUCUCUCCUUGCAUCUGCUUUCGUUCAUAGAAGGCAUUUAGUCUGGUUCCGAUUGGCACUUUGUCUCCAUAUGUCUCCAAAAGUACUUUAAAGAUGCUUUCAGCAGAAUCUUCUUUGCCACCCAGCAUGAACCUUACAGUCGCUUUAGCUUCAUCUUUGAGAUGCUGUUUCACAAACUCCACGUGGUCUUCAGCUGGUACCCUCAUUACCUGGAAGGCAGAUUUCAUUGAGGCAACCCAUUCCUCAAUGCUUAUUUCACCUGGUUUUGCAGGGCAGCCACUGAAUUCUGGAAGUUUUCGGUCUCGUGGUAUAUAGAGGACAGAUGGGGUUGCUUGCAAAGUAGCUUGGUGCUCAAUGACUGUUCUUGCUAGUGACAAGGCUUCCCUUUGUUCAGACCUGGCUUGCUCGAGCGCUCCUGCCUGUUCUGCAAACCUUCUUUGCAUUUCUGCCAUCUGUUUUCUCAGAUCUUCAAGCUCUGCCAUUCUUCAGCUUGUAGGCCUGGGACUCGUGACACACAAACACAAAAAAAAGUUAAACACACUAAUUCUAUCCUGUUCGUGACGCCAAAUGUAACGGGUGCGUUAGGGCCCGCUUAGUAGGGGAAAUUAAUGUUACCUCGGAAGACUUUAGGAGGAAAGGAUCUUGGUACCCCCACCUCAGUGCUUUGAGUCUCAAGGUAUAGGUUAUGUAUACGUGUUACCUUACUCUGUUGUAUAAUAUACUAAAGGGACCAGAGAGUGUGGCUUCAGUUAAGUCUACAAAUACUUGUAUUAAUUUGGUGGCCGCCUGAAGUGUAAAUAUGUGAGGCAAUUUAACAAUACCAAUUCACAUUCCCACCACCCCAGUACCUAACAGAGCAAGUGAGACGCCCCUACUCCAAGGUAAGUUCAACAAUGAUAGUACUCUUGAGAUUUACUUUAACAUUCAAUCAGAUUUAAUUAUCUCCUUUUAAAAUGUUUUUUCUUUUGCAGAGCAG